Molecule: ribosomal RNA, 252 nt
Filed under: uncultured bacterium
Lineage: Bacteria
Description: partial 16S ribosomal RNA
Rfam family: Bacterial small subunit ribosomal RNA
Source: RNAcentral
UACGUAGGUCCCGAGCGUUGUCCGGAUUUAUUGGGCGUAAAGCGAGCGCAGGUGGUUUAUUAAGUCUGGUGUAAAAGGCAGUGGCUCAACCAUUGUAUGCAUUGGAAACUGGUAGACUUGAGUACAGUAGAGGUGGGCGGAAUUCGUGGUGUAGCGGUGAAAUGCUUAGAUAUCACGAAGAACUCCGAUUGCGAAGGCAGCUCACUAGACUGCAACUGACACUGAUGCUCGAAAGUGUGGUUAUCAAACAGG